RNAcentral lists this non-coding RNA (30 nucleotides) under Homo sapiens (human). Lineage: Eukaryota; Metazoa; Chordata; Mammalia; Primates; Hominidae. The record is from RNAcentral.
UCUCUGAACAAGUGCUUCAUCAAAGUGCCU